UUCCAUUUCAUACUUAUAACCAAUUUAAACAUCAUUCUACAACCGUAAUAACAAAACUUUUAUUCUUAACCUAUACAUCACCUAGGUACAUGCCACAUUAUCAAACAAAGGUACAUAACUAAAAUUUCUCUGAGUUCGGGAUUGCUCUGGAUACUGGACCGGAUACUGGCUUUCUACUAACCUGCGCACGGAGACAACCGCACGCUGAGUAUAGAAAUACUCAAUGGUAUUAUCAUAAUUCAAAUUAAUAACAUUAAUCGAUAAAUUAUAUACAUUUAAAUUUAUGUCUACAAUUAUUCAAUACAUUUUCUC
This 312-nucleotide long non-coding RNA is filed under the name Gossypium raimondii (Peruvian cotton). RNAcentral describes it as "long non-coding RNA (GRAI_LNC008972)". The record is from RNAcentral. Lineage: Eukaryota; Viridiplantae; Streptophyta; Magnoliopsida; Malvales; Malvaceae.